ACGGGGCCAUACUAAGUGAGGCGGAGAAACCUGAGACGGAGUGGAACGGGAAGCACCUAGAAAAGGCCGACCGACCUACCUUCACAGCCUUGUGUAUCUACCACGUUGCUUUGGCGGGUCGACCCGGUUCUGUCCCGGGCGGCCGGUGACCCCAGCCCAGUCCCCUGGGCCAGGACGCCUGGCUAAGUGCCCGCCAGUAUACAAAACUCCAGCGAUCAUUUUGUGUAGUCCUGAGAAUUCAUUCAAUGAACUAAAACUUUCAACAACGGAUCUCUUGGUUCUGGCAUCGAUGAAGAACGCAGCGAAAUGCGAUAAGUAAUGUGAAUUGCAGAAUUCAGUGAAUCAUCGAAUCUUUGAACGCACAUUGCGCACCCUGGUAUUCCGGGGGGCAUGCCUGUUCGAGCGUCAUUUCAACCCUCAAGCUCUGCUUGGUAUUGGGCGACGUCCGCUGCCGGACGCGCCUGGAAGUACUCGGCGACGGCGUCUCGGGCUCGAGCGUAGUAGUAAAAUAUCUCGCUUUGGAGGAGGAGGCGACGGCUUGCGGGAACAUCGACCUUCGGUCACUUAUUUUGCCAAGGUUGACUCCGAUCAGGUAGGGAUACCCGCUGAACUUAAGCAUAUCANUAGCGGGGGGAAA
RNAcentral lists this ribosomal RNA (637 nucleotides) under Guignardia sp. EW-2011. RNAcentral's name for it is "eukaryotic LSU rRNA". The stretch from base 255 to 408 matches the Rfam family "5.8S ribosomal RNA". Lineage: Eukaryota; Fungi; Ascomycota; Dothideomycetes; Botryosphaeriales; Phyllostictaceae. The record is from RNAcentral.